AAUGAACGCUGGCGGCGCGCCUAAUACAUGCAAGUCGAGCGAGAAGACGUAGCAAUACGUUUGUAAAGCGGCGAACGGGUGAGGAAUACAUGGGUAACCUACCCUAGAGUGGGGAAUAACUAGCCGAAAGGUUAGCUAAUACCGCGUACGCUCCUUGGACUUCGGUUCAGGGAGGAAAGCGAUGCCGAGGGUAUCGCGCUCUUGGAUGGGCUCAUGUCCUAUCAGCUUGNGGUGAGGUAACGGCUCACCGAGGCUUCGACGGGUAGCUGGUCUGAGAGGACGAUCAGCCACACUGGCACUGCGACACGGGCCAGACUCCUACGGGAGGCAGCAGUAAGGAUAUUGCGCAAUGGGCGAAAGCCUGACGCAGCGACGCCGCGUGGGGGAGUGAA
This 392-nucleotide ribosomal RNA is filed under the name uncultured bacterium. RNAcentral's name for it is "bacterial SSU rRNA". It matches the Rfam family "Bacterial small subunit ribosomal RNA", at positions 29 to 413 of the family's 1533-position model. The record is from RNAcentral.